CGUAACCAAAAUUUCCCUUUUCCCCUCUUCUAUUCUUAAUGUUUUCGCAUUUAUUCUCGUUUUGAUUUUGUUUAAAUUGUGAAAUCGAAGGCUAUGAUGUACAAAUCUACCUAUUUUCUGAGAGGAAUUUUAAAAUUUUUUUUUGGUUCUUCUAUGAUUAGAAGAUUCCAAUGGAUCCUUCUGAGCCUUCUUAGAUAUUAUUUUAUCAUUAUUAUUUUGUUACACUAGUUCUGUUUUUAAUAUGUUUGGAAAAAAAAAAUUAUGAUUAAUUUCCGUUGAUAUGAUGAUAAAAUUUCUCGGAAAUAAAAAAAAUUUAAUGUGUCGACACGAAAAAUCAGACUACAAUUAUCUGAUCAGCGGUUCUCUUUCAAUCUCUAAAUUUGGGAUAAUUAAGAAGAGAAAUGAAGCAAAUUGCGAUUUAUUUGUAAUGUUUGGAUCUUUAGAAGAAAAGGAAAAGGAAAAAAAAGUCUUUGGUUGUGUUUAUUUCUUUCUCUUUCUUUCUCAUAAUUUUUUGGAAAAAAAAUUAGACCUUUAUAACUAAAUAAAGAAAAUUUUCUAACUAUUUAUUUUCUCUACUCUUUUUUUUUUCCUCUAUUGAAAUAAAGCAUCUACGUAAGUAUUUCAUCAUAGAUAAUUUUGUUUUCUUGAACUUACCUGUGCACAAUAAGCCGAUGCUCUGGAACUAUCAAUGUAUGUAUAUGAAGGAAGCAUGGUAAUGAGCACAGAGAAUGAAGGAAAAAAAUAGGGUCAUUAUGUCUGCUCACUUUGAUGCCCUCGGGCGAUGAUCUCGCGGGCCUGGAUUGCACCCACACCUCAUUCAUUUAGUUAUUCAUUUUUUUCAUUUUGAUUCGAUUAUUGUGUGUUGCGUGAAUGUUUGCUUACAUAAUUAGACAUGAUUGUUUACUUUCAUCUUAUUUCUGAUGAUGAGAUAUAUGAAUUAAGGAUCGAUAUAGGUAAACAUAACUUAGGUUAUUUGAACAUUUUAAAAUCCAAAAUUUGUGAUUUUAAGAUAUUAUUUAUGUGGUGGUUAAUUGGUCUUAAUAUUAUUUGUGGUUAAAGACUCUUGAUUUUUGACAUUUGCUUGAAUAGUAGGUAAAUGAUGUAGAAAAAUUCUAUUUCAUGUUUAAUGGAAUUGAUUGUCAAUUUGAAUGUUUCAUUAUUGAAAAUAAGGUGGAAGUAAACAAUUCUAUUUUGCCUUUAAUGUAUUCUAAUUUUACCUUGCAUGUAUGUAGUAAUGGUUUGAUUUAAUUCUAGAAAUUUGUAGAUUGGUCGAUGAUGCAAAAUCCUAAGGCUUGUUUCUCAAAACAUUCGCAGUGGCCGCCUGAGAGCUUUCGCCUUGCCAGGCUUGAGAGCUUGUGCUGCCUUAUCCUUCCUUGGAUGCUCUAUCCCAACCCAGGAAAAGAGACCAGACUAAUAUAGUUUUUUAUUUUAACCUUUUCUCAAUUAUUGAUCUAUUAAGCUUUAUUUUCUUUUUUAUUAGAUCACACAGCUUCAAAAUACAUGUCAUUUGUUUGAAGGGAUAAAUUGUGAUAAAUUGAUGGAUUGGUCGAUGAUGCGAAAUCCUAAGGCUCAGGGUUUCUCAAAAAACAUUCGCCGUGGCCGCCUGAGGCUUUUCCUCGCCGGGGCUUGAGAGCUUGUGCUGCUCUAUCCUUCCUUGGAUGUCUGAGACCAGCUGAUAUAGUUUUAUUUCAACCUUUUCUCAUUUUGAUCAUUAAGCUCUAAUUUUCUUUUUAUUAGAUCACACAGUUCAACAUCAUGUCAUUUGUUUGAAGGGAUAAAUGUGAGAAAUUUGUCGAUUGGUCGAUGAUGCGAAAUCCUAAGGCUUGUUUCUCAAAACAUUCGCAGUGGCCGCCUGAGAGCUUUCGCCUCGCCGGGCUUGAGAGCUUGUGCUGCUCUAUCCUUCCUUGGAUGUCUGAGACCACCUUAUAUAGUUUCAUUUCAGCCAUUUCUCGUUUUGAUCAUUAAGCUCUAUUUUUAUUUUUCAGUUCAACAUCAUGUCUUUUGUUUGAAGGGAUUAAUGUGAUGGCUUAUUUUCUCAAACAUGUUAUCAUAAACUCAUUUUUAGAAAAAUCAAUGGUGUUAAGUUUAAACGAGGGAUUUACGUGCAUGCUAAGCACUUACUAGCAUGGUACAACACGGUGUGCCGUGGUAUUUAUGUAUGUCGUUCACAAAAAUUGCUCUCUGUUGACACGCAGUAGCAUGUGAUAGUUAUUUCCUUUGGCAUUGAUAUUUAAUUGAUUUUAUGUAUAUCUUUAUCAAAUUUUUGCUCUUUAUUAAUGUUACUAGUCAAUUUCAAAAGAAAAGAUGGUUUUGAACCUUUCAAAUGGCACGGGGGUCGUAUCAUGCCAAUACAUUAUUGGCGUGAUACCACAUAGUAGGCACAGUUUGUGCCAAUCGGCACUUUAAUCUUUGUUUAACACUUUGGUUGUGAGAAAUUAAAAUUUGUUGACCUAGAUAAAGUUUUUAUGAUAAGUUGUCUUUUAUUGAUAAUUUGGUUCCAAUUCUUAUAUUUGAUCAUAAUUCUUUUGGUUUGUCAUUUCUUACAUUUGAUCAUAAUUUUUUUGGCGUAUCUUUCUCUAGGUCUUGUUCUGGUGCCAUUUCUAAUUCGGCAGUGAACUUGCUUUGAUUCUUUUUUGCAUUUUAAAGGCUAUUUAAAAACUGUGAAAACUUUUUCUUGUGCUCUGAUGCUUAUCAGAGGACUCACUCUUGUUUGUUUUUCU
This 2720-nucleotide long non-coding RNA is filed under the name Ananas comosus (pineapple). Lineage: Eukaryota; Viridiplantae; Streptophyta; Magnoliopsida; Poales; Bromeliaceae. The record is from RNAcentral.